RNAcentral lists this ribosomal RNA (588 nucleotides) under Escherichia coli. RNAcentral describes it as "bacterial LSU rRNA". It matches the Rfam family "Bacterial large subunit ribosomal RNA", at positions 2360 to 2925 of the family's 2925-position model. Lineage: Bacteria; Pseudomonadati; Pseudomonadota; Gammaproteobacteria; Enterobacterales; Enterobacteriaceae. The record is from RNAcentral.
UAAGCCAGCUUGACUGCGAGCGUGACGGCGCGAGCAGGUGCGAAAGCAGGUCAUAGUGAUCCGGUGGUUCUGAAUGGAAGGGCCAUCGCUCAACGGAUAAAAGGUACUCCGGGGAUAACAGGCUGAUACCGCCCAAGAGUUCAUAUCGACGGCGGUGUUUGGCACCUCGAUGUCGGCUCAUCACAUCCUGGGGCUGAAGUAGGUCCCAAGGGUAUGGCUGUUCGCCAUUUAAAGUGGUACGCGAGCUGGGUUUAGAACGUCGUGAGACAGUUCGGUCCCUAUCUGCCGUGGGCGCUGGAGAACUGAGGGGGGCUGCUCCUAGUACGAGAGGACCGGAGUGGACGCAUCACUGGUGUUCGGGUUGUCAUGCCAAUGGCACUGCCCGGUAGCUAAAUGCGGAAGAGAUAAGUGCUGAAAGCAUCUAAGCACGAAACUUGCCCCGAGAUGAGUUCUCCCUGACUCCUUGAGAGUCCUGAAGGAACGUUGAAGACGACGACGUUGAUAGGCCGGGUGUGUAAGCGCAGCGAUGCGUUGAGCUAACCGGUACUAAUGAACCGUGAGGCUUAACCUUACAACGCCGAAGCUGUU